This is a long non-coding RNA of Gallus gallus (chicken), 950 nucleotides long. The record is from Ensembl. NCBI's taxonomy places the organism in Eukaryota, Metazoa, Chordata, Aves, Galliformes, Phasianidae.
AGCAGAUGCAGCAUGAGGCAAGCAGACACAAGCUACCUCUACAGGUUCCCAGAACAUGCACUUGUCAAUCAGUAAUAUUGUCUCAGCGAGUAAAGCUUUGAAUAAGGCACUAACUGUAGCAUUCCUGGGGAAGAAUAAUUAAACAACAGUCUUCAUGGGGUGCCAGUCUGUACUACAGUUCAUCCAGCAUUUGAAGAACUGCUCACAGAAAACAUUCCUUAGAAUUUGCAGGGCUCCAUUUGCUUAGUGAAGGAAGCCAAAUAAGACCUUCCUUCCCUGCUGAAAUCAAAGCAGCAUUCCCAGAAGCUGCAAUGUUUGCAAGGAGAGAGGGGAAACAAGUAGUGCCAGACUGCUUGAAGCCAAUGCUUGACCUGAUACAGAGUGCCAUCUUGCAGUAACGAAGGAGGCAUCAGAAGAAGGUUCAAGAAAUUUCUUACAAAGGAACUUUCUUCCUUUCCCACAGCAAGGUCAAGCUGGCCCUUCUUCCCAUCCAGGCUGCCUGCAGAGGUGAAGAUCUGACCACUUCCCACCACAACACUCAGGAAAGAGAUGUGGCUAUCUGCAUCAUACUUAUACACAUAAGUAUGCACAGAAAAUAGAAAAAAAAAAAAACAGAAUUGGUAUAAUGUUUCAGGCACAUCUGUACCCUUACUUGGAAUAUUAAAUUUGAUUCAGUUCAUCUUUAUAAAGAAAUAAAAGAGUGGGCUUCUUAGAAUGGAAUUUUCAUUGCUCUGGUGUUUCCUGGUACAGAGAAUUAACAAAGGAUGUAAAUUAUUUUAUUGGAUGUGUUUUGAACCUCCUCUUUAGUGUAUAGGGCAAUACCCAAUCGACCUUUCUGAUUUGUAUGGCUAGAACUUCACUCCUAGGAAGGACAGGUGCUUGUUAAUUUUUGUUUUGUUGGCCAACAAUUUUCAUGUUAUGAUGCUUCUCUUCCAUAAACAAGCAUAAAA